ACGGGGGGGGCAAGCGUUGUUCGGAAUCAUUGGGCGUAAGGGCGCGUAGGCGGCGCGGCAAGUCUUCUGUGAAACCCCUGGGCUCAACCCAGGGCCCGCAGGGGAAACUGCCGUGCUGGAGUGUGGGAGAGGUGCGUGGAAUUCCCGGUGUAGCGGUGAAAUGCGUAGAGAUCGGGAGGAACACCUGCGGCGAAGGCGUUCUGCUGGGCCGAUACUGACGCUGAGGAGCGAAAGCGUGGGGAGCGAACAG
This 250-nucleotide ribosomal RNA is filed under the name uncultured bacterium. Its description in RNAcentral is "partial 16S ribosomal RNA". It matches the Rfam family "Bacterial small subunit ribosomal RNA", at positions 525 to 775 of the family's 1533-position model. The record is from RNAcentral.